Molecule: ribosomal RNA, 140 nt
Filed under: uncultured eukaryote
Lineage: Eukaryota
Description: partial 18S ribosomal RNA
Rfam family: Eukaryotic small subunit ribosomal RNA
Source: RNAcentral
UGGUGGAGUGAUUUGUCUGGUUAAUUCCGUUAACGAACGAGACCUCGACCUGCUAAAUAGUCCAUGGAAUCUUUCGAUUCCAUGUUACUUCUUAGAGGGACUAUCGGUGUUGCAGCCGAUGGAAGUUCGAGGCAAUAACA